This 411-nucleotide ribosomal RNA is filed under the name Sprattus sprattus (European sprat). RNAcentral's name for it is "partial large subunit ribosomal RNA". It matches the Rfam family "Bacterial large subunit ribosomal RNA", at positions 1926 to 2489 of the family's 2925-position model. Lineage: Eukaryota; Metazoa; Chordata; Actinopteri; Clupeiformes; Clupeidae. The record is from RNAcentral.
AACGGCCGCGGUAUUUUAACCGUGCAAAGGUAGCGCAAUCAAUUGUCUUUUAAAUGAAGACCUGUAUGAAUGGCAUAACGAGGGUUUAACUGUCUCUUUCUCCUGGUCAGUGAAACUGAUCUACCCGUGCAGAAGCGGGUAUGAAUAUACAAGACGAGAAGACCCUAUGGAGCUUUAGACGCCCACCAAUCAUGAAAAGCAAGUCUCAGUUAACAGGCCUCCAAACAACAUGAUACUGGUAUAAACGUCUUCGGUUGGGGCGACCGCGGGAGAGAAAAAAGCUCCCGAGAGGAUUGGGGCUACCCUAAAACCAAGAGCUACACCUCUAAGUCACAAAACAUUUGACCAAAAAUGAUCCGGCUAUUUGCCGAUUAACGAACCAAGUUACCCUAGGGAUAACAGCGCAAUCCC